AUUGAACGCUGGCGGCAGGCUUAACACAUGCAAGUCGAGCGGUAGCACAGGGGAGCUUGCUCCCUGGGUGACGAGCGGCGGACGGGUGAGUAAUGUCUGGGAAACUGCCUGAUGGAGGGGGAUAACUACUGGAAACGGUAGCUAAUACCGCAUAACGUCGCAAGACCAAAGAGGGGGACCUUCGGGCCUCUUGCCAUCAGAUGUGCCCAGAUGGGAUUAGCUAGUAGGUGGGGUAAUGGCUCACCUAGGCGACGAUCCCUAGCUGGUCUGAGAGGAUGACCAGCCACACUGGAACUGAGACACGGUCCAGACUCCUACGGGAGGCAGCAGUGGGGAAUAUUGCACAAUGGGCGCAAGCCUGAUGCAGCCAUGCCGCGUGUGUGAAGAAGGCCUUCGGGUUGUAAAGCACUUUCAGCGAGGAGGAAGGUGGUGAGCUUAAUACGUUCAUCAAUUGACGUUACUUGCAGAAGAAGCACCGGCUAACUCCGUG
RNAcentral lists this ribosomal RNA (490 nucleotides) under uncultured bacterium. RNAcentral's name for it is "partial 16S ribosomal RNA". It matches the Rfam family "Bacterial small subunit ribosomal RNA", at positions 30 to 507 of the family's 1533-position model. The record is from RNAcentral.